AAAUGUUUUGUUUACGUUUUUCGGAUCGGAAGUUUUCAAAUAAAUUCGUCGCAAAACGCAAACUCGGCUCGCGAUAACACAUGCAAAUCUCUCGCUGCGAUGACAAACAUACCAUCCGCACAGCAGUGUCGUUCACGUUCGAAUCCUCAGCAGCAGAUGGACGUUGGAGGUUACGCCCAAGGGGGAAUGUUUCCAGACCAGCAACAAGGAAUGAAACCAAACCUGCAACAGCAAGGAUGCGGCGGGCCACGACUAGGGUUUAGCGUUUUCUCAGCAGCUGCAACAAGGCCCGGUGGUCCUAGCGGUCCAAAUGGGCUUAAUGGGUAUUCCUACGCCACAGCUCGCAAUGCAAAAACAGUUGUUCCAAAAACACCAUCCGGACCAGCAUCGUCAGACCCGAACCAGAUAGGUGAUGUACCCGGAGACCCCAGAGAUACCAGCAUACUGAUCGCUCAGGAUCAGCUCAACAAAUUCGUCAACAGUUGUAGUAGUAUCACGUGUACUAUUUAGUACUAGGAACGAAUUAAAGCACUGGAAAAAGUAUUCCCUACAAAAAGAAACCGCCCAACCGGUUCAAAGCGCUUCCGUUAUCCGUUUCCGGAAAACGAGACAAAAUUCAAGUCUCGUUCACAAUUGGCAUUACUUGUGGUACCCGAGUCACAGGUCUUUCAUUUAGUUAUUACGACCCGGUCAGGAGAAAUGUCUCAAAGCCUGCCGCCCGAACCAUAUUAGCAACCUAGGUAACGUCAGCGUCGUAGAGUUGUUUGAUUAGUAUGGUGUGAUCCAGCAUUUCAUAGUUUCUACUUAAUUCGAAACUCACGGAGAAUUCUCGAUUUCUGUGAAACCUAUCCCAUAUUGAAACUCAUGCACCGGGAGACAAAUGAUCAUUAAAGUUAUGACGGAGAAGAUGGCGAAAGUAACUUUUUCGACAUCAGAGGUUUCCAGCCACUCAGCGCAAUUUGGUACUCCAGGGCGUAAUCGGCAUGCUUGUUCUCAAAGAUAAAGUGACGUCGUAAGAGGUUCUGGAUAAAUGUUCGUUGGCUGUUCGGUUACGCAAUGUGUCUUUAAAAUACCCAAUCAAUGAAGGUGGUAGCUAUAUUCAACACCAAACUGUAACAAAAAGAUUAAAUUUCCCUUAUUCCUAAUGUGAAAAAAUAAUAUUGGGUAGUAAAAGCUUGAAUGUAUGUAUGUAUUCAACCAAUAAAA
Uranotaenia lowii is the source of this 1206-nucleotide long non-coding RNA. RefSeq lists it as uncharacterized. The transcript is spliced from 4 exons. The record is from RefSeq and is a predicted model, not a curated record. Lineage: Eukaryota; Metazoa; Arthropoda; Insecta; Diptera; Culicidae.